CUGCUGAUCACAGAGCAAGAGGUGUGUGGAAA
RNAcentral lists this non-coding RNA (32 nucleotides) under Homo sapiens (human). Lineage: Eukaryota; Metazoa; Chordata; Mammalia; Primates; Hominidae. The record is from RNAcentral.